UACGGGGGGAGCAAGCGUUGUUCGGAUUUACUGGGCGUAAAGGGCGCGUAGGCGGACUUGUAAGUCGGGAGUGAAAACUCGGGGCUCAACCCCGAGCCUGCUUCCGAAACUGCGAGUCUUGAGGACCGGAGAGGAAAGUGGAAUUCCUAGUGUAGCGGUGGAAUGCGUAGAUAUUAGGAAGAACACCAGUGGCGAAGGCGACUUUCUGGACGGUUCCUGACGCUGAGGCGCGAAAGCUAGGGGAGCAAACAGG
RNAcentral lists this ribosomal RNA (253 nucleotides) under uncultured bacterium. RNAcentral's name for it is "partial 16S ribosomal RNA". It matches the Rfam family "Bacterial small subunit ribosomal RNA", at positions 524 to 776 of the family's 1533-position model. The record is from RNAcentral.